UGGUCAGAUAGAAAAAGCACUGGG
This 24-nucleotide non-coding RNA is filed under the name Cricetulus griseus (Chinese hamster). The record is from RNAcentral. Lineage: Eukaryota; Metazoa; Chordata; Mammalia; Rodentia; Cricetidae.